RNAcentral lists this transfer RNA (76 nucleotides) under Candidatus Portiera aleyrodidarum (primary endosymbiont of Bemisia tabaci). RNAcentral describes it as "tRNA-Arg(ccg)". It matches the Rfam family "tRNA". From Rfam's summary of the family: Transfer RNA (tRNA) molecules are approximately 80 nucleotides in length. Their secondary structure includes four short double-helical elements and three loops (D, anti-codon, and T loops). Lineage: Bacteria; Pseudomonadati; Pseudomonadota; Gammaproteobacteria; Johnevansiales (SeqCode); Johnevansiaceae (SeqCode). The record is from RNAcentral.
UACGUCUGUAGCUUAGCUGGAGAGAGCAGUACCUUCCGAAGGUACAGGUCAUGGGUUCAAGUCCCUUCAGACGUAG